This 346-nucleotide ribosomal RNA is filed under the name uncultured Allobrachymonas sp. Its description in RNAcentral is "bacterial SSU rRNA". It matches the Rfam family "Bacterial small subunit ribosomal RNA", at positions 1031 to 1382 of the family's 1533-position model. Lineage: Bacteria; Pseudomonadati; Pseudomonadota; Betaproteobacteria; Burkholderiales; Comamonadaceae. The record is from RNAcentral.
GACACAGGUGCUGCAUGGCUGUCGUCAGCUCGUGUCGUGAGAUGUUGGGUUAAGUCCCGCAACGAGCGCAACCCUUGUCCAUUAGUUGCUACGAAAGGGCACUCUAAUGGGACUGCCGGUGACAAACCGGAGGAAGGUGGGGAUGACGUCAAGUCCUCAUGGCCCUUAUAGGUGGGGCUACACACGUCAUACAAUGGCCGGUACAGAGGGUAGCCAACCCGCGAGGGGGAGCCAAUCCCACAAAGCCGGUCGUAGUCCGGAUCGCAGUCUGCAACUCGACUGCGUGAAGUCGGAAUCGCUAGUAAUCGUGGAUCAGCAUGUCACGGUGAAUACGUUCCCGGGUCUU